This 404-nucleotide ribosomal RNA is filed under the name Fusobacteriota bacterium. RNAcentral describes it as "Fusobacteria bacterium partial 16S ribosomal RNA". It matches the Rfam family "Bacterial small subunit ribosomal RNA", at positions 355 to 776 of the family's 1533-position model. Lineage: Bacteria; Fusobacteriati; Fusobacteriota. The record is from RNAcentral.
UGGGGAAUAUUGCACAAUGGAGGGAACUCUGAUGCAGCGACGCCGCGUGAGUGAUGAAGGACUUCGUUUCGUAAAACUCUGUUCUAUGGGAAGAAAAGGACUGUACCAUAGGAGAAAGCUCCGGCUAAAUACGUGCCAGCAGCCGCGGUAAUACGUAUGGAGCGAGCGUUGUCCGGAAUUAUUGGGCGUAAAGGGUGCGCAGGCGGCUUUACAAGUUGGAUGUGAAAUAUUGUGGCUCAACCACACACGUGCAUCCAAAACUGCAAAGCUUGAGUUAAGGAGAGGUAAGUGGAAUUCCUGGUGUAGCGGUGGAAUGCGUAGAUAUCAGGAGGAAUACCGGUGGCGAAGGCGACUUACUGGACUUAAACUGACGCUCAGGCACGAAAGCGUGGGGAGCAAACAGG